Molecule: ribosomal RNA, 467 nt
Filed under: uncultured bacterium
Lineage: Bacteria
Description: partial 16S ribosomal RNA
Rfam family: Bacterial small subunit ribosomal RNA
Source: RNAcentral
GAUGAACGCUGACAGAAUGCUUAACACAUGCAAGUCCACUUGAAUUUGGGUUUUUAACUUAGGUUUGGGUGGCGGACGGGUGAGUAACGCGUAAAGAACUUGCCUCACAGCUAGGGACAACAUUUGGAAACGAAUGCUAAUACCUAAUAUUAUGAUAAUAGGGCAUCCUAUAAUUAUGAAAGCUAUAAGCGCUGUGAGAGAGCUUUGCGUCCCAUUAGCUAGUUGGAGAGGUAACGGCUCGCCAAGGCGAUGAUGGGUAGCCGGCCUGAGAGGGUGAUCGGCCACAAGGGGACUGAGACACGGCCCUUACUCCUACGGGAGGCAGCAGUGGGGAAUAUUGGACAAUGGACCAAGAGUCUGAUCCAGCAAUUCUGUGUGCACGAUGAAGUUUUUCGGAAUGUAAAGUGCUUUCAGUUGGGAAGAAAGAAAUGACGGUACCAACAGAAGAAGUGACGGCUAAAUACGUG